UGGGGAAUAUUGGACAAUGGGCGCAAGCCUGAUCCAGCCAUGCCGCGUGAGUGAUGAAGGCCCUAGGGUUGUAAAGCUCUUUCAGCGAGGAGGAUAAUGACGUUACUCGCAGAAGAAGCCCCGGCUAACUUCGUGCCAGCAGCCGCGGUAAUACGAAGGGGGCUAGCGUUGUUCGGGAUCACUGGGCGUAAAGCGCACGUAGGCGGACUUUUAAGUCAGGGGUGAAAUCCCGGGGCUCAACCUCGGAACUGCCUUUGAUACUGGAAGUCUGGAGUCCGAGAGAGGUGAGUGGAACUCCGAGUGUAGAGGUGAAAUUCGUAGAUAUUCGGAAGAACACCAGUGGCGAAGGCGGCUCACUGGCUCGGUACUGACGCUGAGGUGCGAAAGCGUGGGGAGCAAACAGGGUUAGAUACCCUGGUAGUCCACGCCGUAAACGAUGUAAGCUAGCCGUCAGGGUGCAUGCAUCUUGGUGGCGCAGUUAACGCAUUAAGCUUCCCGCCUGGGGAGUACGGUCGCAAGAUUAAAACUCAAAGGAAUUGACGGGGUCAUAGCUGUUUCCU
RNAcentral lists this ribosomal RNA (560 nucleotides) under uncultured bacterium. RNAcentral's name for it is "partial 16S ribosomal RNA". It matches the Rfam family "Bacterial small subunit ribosomal RNA", at positions 355 to 1375 of the family's 1533-position model. The record is from RNAcentral.